GACGAACUGUUCUAACGUUAUUCGGAAUCACUGGGCUUAAAGGGCGCGUAGGCUGUUUGUUAAGCGGGGUCUGAAAUCCCUCGGCUCAACCGAGGAACUGGGCUUCGAACUGGCAGACUAGAGUGAAGUAGGGGUAAGCGGAACUUGCGGUGGAGCGGUGAAAUGCUUUGAUAUCGCAAGGAACACCGGCGGCGAAGGCGGCUUACUGGGCUUCAACUGACGCUAAAGCGCGAAAGCUAGGGUAGCGAACGGGAUUAGAUACCCGGGUAGUCCCUGAGCGGGCUGG
RNAcentral lists this ribosomal RNA (286 nucleotides) under uncultured prokaryote. RNAcentral's name for it is "partial 16S ribosomal RNA". It matches the Rfam family "Bacterial small subunit ribosomal RNA", at positions 524 to 812 of the family's 1533-position model. The record is from RNAcentral.